This 464-nucleotide ribosomal RNA is filed under the name uncultured bacterium. Its description in RNAcentral is "partial 16S ribosomal RNA". It matches the Rfam family "Bacterial small subunit ribosomal RNA", at positions 28 to 507 of the family's 1533-position model. The record is from RNAcentral.
GACGAACGCUGGCGGCGUGCUUAACACAUGCAAGUCGAACGGUAAGGCCCCAGCUUGCUGGGGUACACGAGUGGCGAACGGGUGAGUAACACGUGGGUGACCUGCCCCGCACUUCGGGAUAAGCCUGGGAAACUGGGUCUAAUACCGGCUAGGACCGCACGGUGAGGGUGGGGUGGCAGGUUUUUCGGUGUGGGAUGGGCCCGCGGCCUAUCAGCUUGUUGGUGGGGUAAUGGCCUACCAAGGCGGCGACGGGUAGCCGGCCUGAGAGGGUGGACGGCCACAUUGGGACUGAGACACGGCCCAGACUCCUACGGGAGGCAGCAGUGGGGAAUAUUGCACAAUGGGCGGUAGCCUGAUGCAGCGACGCCGCGUGGGGGAUGACGGCCUUCGGGUUGUAAACUCCUUUCACCAUCGACGAAGGUUUUCUGACGGUAGAUGGAGAAGAAGCACCGGCUAACUACGUG